CAACGCAGCAAAAACAACGAAUUCGAAAAUCACUCUGCUCUGCCUCUCCUCUAUGCGGCUUCUGAAAAGGGGGCAAUGGCAGCGUUGGAUUUCGCAAAAUGUGAAAUCAGUCGGUGCUCAUUCUGCUGGCAGUGGCAAUAGUGUGUUUUCGUUCGAGACACUGACAGCUGAACCAGAUCGGGUUAGUCAUCAUUGACAGUCAAUGCUACGUCUCUGAGUGAUGGCUGUCCUUACGGAGAUAGAAUUAGGUGCUAACUGGAUGCUUGGUGAAGUCGACGAUCCUAUGAUCUAUAUAAGAAGGGUCUACUCAUCAUCAAGAUGUACAUUUACACGAAAAGCAGUCUAUUAUUGGGCCGCUCUGUGGCUACUUGCAUGUUGAGGCACUACUCACUACUUACAAGAUCUCGUCUGGACCACUCUCGUCAAGCUAUUCAGUCUCAACCUUAUGCAGGUUGGUGUAUCACAUUGGGGUAGUCAUCCUUCCAUACAUCAGAGGUUCAUACUGUGGUUGUUCACACACACACAUUGGACAAGAGAGGAGUUUGAUGUCCUGAAUAAACCCGGCAAUCAUUGAGGAAAGCCAAGGAGAUGA
Asterias rubens (European starfish) is the source of this 592-nucleotide long non-coding RNA. RefSeq lists it as uncharacterized. The record is from RefSeq and is a predicted model, not a curated record. Lineage: Eukaryota; Metazoa; Echinodermata; Asteroidea; Forcipulatida; Asteriidae. The transcript has 4 exons.